AAAAAGACAAACCCUAGGUUAAGUUUGCGUGUCCAACUUUGACUGUCCGUCUUAUAUGAAAUUUUUUUAUAAUUCGUAUUUUUAUUGUUGUUAGAUGAUAAAACAUGAUCAAUACUUUGUACGUGACUUGUCUUUUUAAUUUUUUUCAUAAUUUUUUUGAAUAAGACAGAUGGUUAAACAUUGGGCACGGAAAUCAGGGUUUGUCUUUUU
Oryza meridionalis is the source of this 210-nucleotide non-coding RNA. The record is from Rfam. Lineage: Eukaryota; Viridiplantae; Streptophyta; Magnoliopsida; Poales; Poaceae.